UGUUGGUGUUCAUAUUGGAUAGUCUUGUUAUUACAGAUGAUGAUUAUUAGUGUUGACCUAUCUGUUCCCCUAAAAUCUUGUUGCAUCAUCUGGCUGUUACCUUCUCAAGAUUAUAUAUGAGUGUUGUUCUCUUUUUCAAAUUGAUCUUGCUGCUGAUGGGUUCUUGUGCAUCUUUACAUAAGCAAAUAGUCUUGGCCAUGCUGGUUUUCAAAUUACUGGAAACUGGUUGUUUUGUGAUAUUAUCUACUAUUGACACCAAUUUCAUGGUUGGAUCUGUUAAACUUAUGAAGACGCAUAACAAGUUUUCUGGCUCUGUUUUGGUUGAUCUGACGAACACCGGACCAUAUUCCUGAUUCGUAAUCUG
RNAcentral lists this long non-coding RNA (364 nucleotides) under Androctonus crassicauda. Lineage: Eukaryota; Metazoa; Arthropoda; Arachnida; Scorpiones; Buthidae. The record is from RNAcentral.